This 293-nucleotide ribosomal RNA is filed under the name uncultured Pseudomonas sp. RNAcentral's name for it is "partial 16S ribosomal RNA". It matches the Rfam family "Bacterial small subunit ribosomal RNA", at positions 355 to 640 of the family's 1533-position model. Lineage: Bacteria; Pseudomonadati; Pseudomonadota; Gammaproteobacteria; Pseudomonadales; Pseudomonadaceae. The record is from RNAcentral.
UGGGGAAUAUUGGACAAUGGGCGAAAGCCUGAUCCAGCCAUGCCGCGUGUGUGAAGAAGGUCUUCGGAUUGUAAAGCACUUUAAGUUGGGAGGAAGGGCAGUUACCUAAUACGUAUCUGUUUUGACGUUACCGACAGAAUAAGCACCGGCUAACUCUGUGCCAGCAGCCGCGGUAAUACAGAGGGUGCAAGCGUUAAUCGGAAUUACUGGGCGUAAAGCGCGCGUAGGUGGUUUGUUAAGUUGGAUGUGAAAUCCCCGGGCUCAACCUGGGAACUGCAUUCAAAACUGACAAG